CUUGGCGCACGUGUGGGGAAGCAUCGGGGGCGGCCAGCUCCGCCCCCCCACCCCGCGCCCUGGAUGCCUCGCAGGCCCGACGGGUGCCAUGGCGGGGGCCUGCUGUGCGCCCGGCUGUGUGACCCUCACACCUUGCUGGCCAGGCUGGGCCGCGACUUCUCUGCCUCACUCAGACCAGAGAAGGUGAGUGACAGGUCUGUGGUCACACAGCUGGGAGGGGACAGUAGGCCCUGUUCCAGAGAUGAGUCGAGUCCUUCCCCUGACCACCCCCCCUCUGCAGGAGCCAGUCCAGAGCCAGCACCCUGGGGGGUCACCCCAGUCCUCCUGGCCCUGGGGCCACUGGGCCCUGCUCGGGGGAAGCCGGAACUGCCUCCUUCGGCACAGGAGGGGGUGAGACCGCCCCGGACAGCCAGGCUGCGCCACCCCCCGAGACGGGCGGGCAGAGGGGCCAGGGAGCGGCAAGGGGCCUCCGUCCCCAGCCAUCCGCGACACACACCACCUAACCUUCUCCCCCGAGAACCCCGCUGCCCCCAGGAGGCCUUCCCUGAAUGCCCCCGCACUCUCCCACCUCGCCCCUGCCCCAGCAGGACCAGAGGCGACCUGCUCCCCGGGGAGCACCAAGAAGGUCCAGCGGAGCCGGGCGCAACCCGGCCAGCCAGGCCGGCGUCCAGUGUGAGGGCCUGGGGUGUGGCGGGGACCCGAGGGACCACCCCGCAGUGCUCGGGCGUGUCCAGGGCCACCCCAGCGAGGCCCGGGAUGGAGCCUGGGUCAUUUCACACCCGCAUGUGCCCUGAUCAGUCUCCUGGGGCCCGGGGGUCAGCAAGUCUUUCCACACGGCACCGAACUCCGCUCAGCAGGAGGGCACACACACACACUCACUGGCACACAGGCGCACACACAACACACACACAGGCACACACAGGUACACACUCAGGCACACACAGGCAUCCAACAGGCAUCCACACAUGCACACACAACACACACAUACACACAGGUACACACAUGCAUACACAACACACACAGGCACACACAGACACACACAGGUACACACACAUGCAUAUAAAGACAUACAUACAGGCAUCCACACAUGCAUACACAACACACACUGGCACACACAUACACACAGACACACACAGGCACACACAUACACACAGACACACACAGGCACACACAUACAUACACAGGUACACACACAUGCACAUAAAGACAUACAUAUAGGCAUCCACACAUGCAUACACAACACACACAGGCACACACAUACACACAGACACACACAGGUACACACAUACACAGACACACACACAGGUACACACACAGGUACACAUACAGGUACACACAGACACACACACAUGCACACAGACACACACUCUAUCUCUGGCAGAGAUGCCUGGCCCCAGGGCCCCGUCCAUCCUGUGGCCAGCAGGACAGGGGCGCUGGCCCACACCCCGAGAACCGGCCCCCGGGUGCACAGAUGCAGCGGGAGGGCUGCUGGCGGACCCCCUGGGUGGACUCGCAGCUCCGGUCACAGCUCUGGUUUCCCCGAGGGCGGGACGGAGCGGCCCUGCUCCGGGGAGCGGCCUGGCGGCCGGGCAUGAGAGCAGGGACGGCCAGUGGAGCAGGUGCCGGGCCCCAGCCCCGCACAGAUGGACACGGCAGGGAGGGGACAGGCGGGGCGAGCCAGGAGCUUCUAGCCCAGAGUGGGGGGAGGAGGCACGCCCAGGCAGGGGGCGGGGGAAGGGGGAGACGGCAAAGGAAGGUCAGUGCCUAGGCCCUGGGGCAGCUGACCCUGCCUGGCGGAGGUGGCGGACAGAGGGAGGAGGCCAGUGGGGGAGGGCAGGGAGGGCUGAGGCAACCCCCAGGGCCUUGAAGGACAGACUUGGGGCAAGACAGUGUCAGGGAACCCUGGUUCCUGGGGAGGCCUGGCAGGGGCUGCAGCCCCCCAGGUGAAUGAGGUGCUGGGAGCAGGGGAAUGCUGGGGACAGCCUGGAAAGGCGGGGGCACCGGGGUCCACAGGGCAGGGCCAGGGUCCUGGGCCUGGCAAGACCCCGGGGUGCUGCUUCCUGCACCGGGAGUGCAGUUAGUGGAGACCCAACUCCUAGCGCAGCUGGGGGGGGGCUCCCCUCACUGCCCAGGAGGCCCGGGAGGGCCAGUCUCCCUCCAGCCCGCAGGGCCGGCUCUCUGGGUGUUCUGGGGACCCUCAGCCGGGGGUAACCCACCCUGGCGGAGGGUGGGUGCGGGGCGAUGGGAACUGUGUUCCAGGAGGCACAUCUGGGGGUCUCCCUGCCUGAGUCUGGGGGCAACGGGACUCAGGAGGGAGGCCUACAGGGAGGACUGGGAGAGAAAGGGGGGCCGCUCGGUGAGGGGGACCGGAAGGAAUGAGCCAGGCCUCACGGGCGCCACAUGGGGGGUGUGGGGAAGGCAGGAGCUGGGGGUGCGGAGCCGGGAGGACACACCAGGGCUCCAGGCAGAAACGAACCCCGGGGCCCAGGGCCUUUGCAGUGACGGAGACGGAGGGUGAUGGGGGCCAGGCCGGCUGGGUCGUGGGGGGGACAGGGCGGGGGGGGGGGACAUGGGCCUGCCACCCGCUAGGUCUGAGCCCCAAGGGGAGCCGGACUCUGUGGCUGCCACCUCGAGAGCAGAAGAGAACGGGGGUCUCCGCGUGACCCUCACGGCGGGGCGCCCCGGGGCCGCCAGCACUCCCGCGAGGUCACCCCCGACCCGCGCCCCCGAACCCCGCAGCGGCCCAGUUCCUGGGG
RNA transcript from Sorex araneus (European shrew), 2756 nucleotides. RefSeq lists it as uncharacterized. The record is from RefSeq and is a predicted model, not a curated record. Lineage: Eukaryota; Metazoa; Chordata; Mammalia; Eulipotyphla; Soricidae. The transcript has 2 exons.